UACGGAGGAGGCAAGCGUUAUCCGGAAUUAUUGGGCGUAAAGCGUCCGCAGGUGGUUAAUCAAGUCUGCUGUCAAAGCGCGAGGCUCAACUUCGUAAAGGCAGUGGAAACUGAUUGACUUGAGUUUGGUAGGGGUAGAGGGAAUUCCCAGUGUAGCGGUGAAAUGCGUAGAUAUUGGGAAGAACACCGGUGGCGAAAGCGCUCUACUGGGCCUGAACUGACACUGAGGGACGAAAGCUAGGGGAGCGAAAGGG
RNAcentral lists this ribosomal RNA (253 nucleotides) under uncultured bacterium. RNAcentral describes it as "partial 16S ribosomal RNA". It matches the Rfam family "Bacterial small subunit ribosomal RNA", at positions 524 to 776 of the family's 1533-position model. The record is from RNAcentral.